Molecule: ribosomal RNA, 256 nt
Filed under: uncultured bacterium
Lineage: Bacteria
Description: partial 16S ribosomal RNA
Rfam family: Bacterial small subunit ribosomal RNA
Source: RNAcentral
CACGUAGGGUGCGAGCGUUGUCCGGAAUUAUUGGGCGUAAAGAGCUCGUAGGCGGUGUGUCGCGUCGGCCGUGAAAACCUGCAGCUUAACUGUGGGCUUGCGGUCGAUACGGGCAUCACUGGAGUUCGGCAGGGGGAGACUGGAAUUCCUGGUGUAGCGGUGAAAUGCGCAGAUAUCAGGAGGAACACCAAUGGCGAAGGCAGCACUCUGGGGACGUGACUGACGCUGAGACGCGAAAGCGUGGGGAGCAAACAGG